This 196-nucleotide small RNA is filed under the name Planococcus rifietoensis. RNAcentral's name for it is "Bacillus sRNA ncr1575". It matches the Rfam family "Bacillus sRNA ncr1575". The record is from Rfam by way of RNAcentral. Lineage: Bacteria; Bacillati; Bacillota; Bacilli; Caryophanales; Caryophanaceae.
AUUCUGAAAUGAAACGAGUUGAUGGGUGGACAAUGCGUAACUAACCUAUAUUUUUAGUCAUUUGAAAUAGUUAUUUUUCGAAGACGAAAACAUAGGAUUAGUCUGCCCAUUUCAUCCAUAAGGUGUCGCUGGUUAUUUGGCGCACCCAAAGUGUACUGGCUAAUCCUUCCAAAUUUAGAUUUGGGAGGAUUUUUUU